RNAcentral lists this ribosomal RNA (253 nucleotides) under uncultured bacterium. RNAcentral's name for it is "partial 16S ribosomal RNA". It matches the Rfam family "Bacterial small subunit ribosomal RNA", at positions 524 to 776 of the family's 1533-position model. The record is from RNAcentral.
UACGUAGGUGGCAAGCGUUGUCCGGAAUUAUUGGGCGUAAAGAGCUCGUAGGCGGUCUGUCGCGUCGGCUGUGAAAACCCGGGGCUCAACCCCGGGCCUGCGGUCGAUACGGGCAGACUAGAGUGCGGUAGGGGAGACUGGAAUUCCUGGUGUAGCGGUGAAAUGCGCAGAUAUCAGGAGGAACACCGGUGGCGAAGGCGGGUCUCUGGGCCGAUACUGACGCUGAGGAGCGAAAGCGUGGGGAGCGAACAGG